This 232-nucleotide ribosomal RNA is filed under the name Proteus mirabilis. Its description in RNAcentral is "partial 16S ribosomal RNA". It matches the Rfam family "Bacterial small subunit ribosomal RNA", at positions 791 to 1022 of the family's 1533-position model. The record is from RNAcentral. Lineage: Bacteria; Pseudomonadati; Pseudomonadota; Gammaproteobacteria; Enterobacterales; Morganellaceae.
UAGUCCACGCUGUAAACGAUGUCGAUUUAGCGGUUGUGGUCUUGAACCGUGGCUUCUGGAGCUAACGCAUUAAAUCGAACGCCUGGGGAGUACGGCCGCAAGGUUAAAACUCAAAUGAAUUGACGGGGGCCCGCACAAGCGGUGGAGCAUGAGGUUUAAUUCGAUGCAACGCGAAGAACCUUACCUACUCUUGACAUCCAGCGAAUCCUAUAGAGAUAGAGGAGUGCCUUCG